UGAACUUCUGAUUCCCUGCUGCUACCUCC
RNAcentral lists this non-coding RNA (29 nucleotides) under Mus musculus (house mouse). The record is from RNAcentral. Lineage: Eukaryota; Metazoa; Chordata; Mammalia; Rodentia; Muridae.